UUUAAAGAGAGUUUGAUCCUGGCUCAGGACGAACGCUGGCGGCGUGCCUAAUACAUGCAAGUCGAACGAACGGAGGAAGAGCUUGCUCUUCCAAUGUUAGUGGCGGACGGGUGAGUAACACGUGGGCAACCUGCCUG
Molecule: ribosomal RNA, 137 nt
Filed under: Listeria monocytogenes
Lineage: Bacteria; Bacillati; Bacillota; Bacilli; Caryophanales; Listeriaceae
Description: partial 16S ribosomal RNA
Rfam family: Bacterial small subunit ribosomal RNA
Source: RNAcentral